This 411-nucleotide ribosomal RNA is filed under the name uncultured bacterium. RNAcentral describes it as "bacterial SSU rRNA". It matches the Rfam family "Bacterial small subunit ribosomal RNA", at positions 30 to 440 of the family's 1533-position model. The record is from RNAcentral.
AUUGAACGCUGGCGGCGUGCUUAACACAUGCAAGUCGUGCGGUAACAGGCGUAGCAAUACGUGCUGACGAGCGGCGAACGGGUGCGUAAUACAUGGGAAUCUGCCCUUUAGUGGGGAAUAACCCGGCGAAAGCCGGGCUAAUGCCGCAUAAGAUCUUCGGAUGAAAGCGGGGGAUCGUAAGACCUCGCGCUGAUGGAUGAGCCCAUGUCGGAUUAGCAGUUGGUGAGGUAACGGCUCACCAAGGCGACGAUCCGUAGCUGGUCUGAGAGGACGGCCAGCCACACUGGGACUGAGACACGGCCCAGACUCCUACGGGAGGCAGCAGUGGGGAAUAUUGGACAAUGGGCGAAAGCCUGAUCCAGCGACGCCGCGUGUGUGAAGAAGGCCUGCGGGUUGUAAAGCACUUUCGAU